UACGUAGGGUGCGAGCGUUGUCCGGAAUUAUUGGGCGUAAAGAGCUCGUAGGCGGUGUGUCACGUCGGCCGUGAAAAACCUGCAGCUUAACUGUGGGCGUGCGGUCGAUACGGGCAUCACUGGAGUUCGGCAGGGGAGACUGGAAUUCCUGGUGUAGCGGUGAAAUGCGCAGAUAUCAGGAGGAACACCGGUGGCGAAGGCGGGUCUCUGGGCCGAUACUGACGCUGAGGAGCGAAAGCGUGGGGAGCAAACAGG
RNAcentral lists this ribosomal RNA (255 nucleotides) under uncultured bacterium. RNAcentral's name for it is "partial 16S ribosomal RNA". It matches the Rfam family "Bacterial small subunit ribosomal RNA", at positions 524 to 776 of the family's 1533-position model. The record is from RNAcentral.